This 205-nucleotide long non-coding RNA is filed under the name Brassica napus (rape). RNAcentral describes it as "long non-coding RNA (BNAP_LNC008149)". The record is from RNAcentral. Lineage: Eukaryota; Viridiplantae; Streptophyta; Magnoliopsida; Brassicales; Brassicaceae.
UCGACAUAUUAGAUAUAUUCUCUACUCAGGUAACUUUCACAUUUAAAUUGCUGUAAAAUUAUACUAUACGUUGUUUGGUUUAAAAUUAAUUUACAUUUUUGAGGAAAAUAAAAUCACAAUAAAGUUGUCAAUGUGAAUAAAGGAUAGUGGAUAACGCGGUGCAAACGGAAUUGAAUGGCUUCACGCGUUUUAGUUAUGAUUAUUG